GAUGAACGCUGGCGGCGUGCCUAAUACAUGCAAGUCGAACGCGCAGCGAAAGGUGCUUGCACCUUUCAAGCGAGUGGCGAACGGGUGAGUAACACGUGGAUAACCUCCCUCAAGGCUGGGGAUAACAUUUGGAAACAGAUGCUAAUACCGAAUAAAACUUAGUAUCGCAUGAUACAAAGUUAAAAGGCGCUACGGCGUCACCUAGAGAUGGAUCCGCGGUGCAUUAGUUAGUUGGUGGGGUAAAGGCUUACCAAGACGAUGAUGCAUAGCCGAGUUGAGAGACUGAUCGGCCACAUUGGGACUGAGACACGGCCCAAACUCCUACGGGAGGCUGCAGUAGGGAAUCUUCCACAAUGGGCGCAAGCCUGAUGGAGCAACGCCGCGUGUGUGAUGAGGGCUUUCGGGUCGUAAAGCACUGUUGUAUGGGAAGAAAUGCUAAAAUAGGGAAUGAUUUUAGUUUGACGGUACCAUACCAGAAAGGGACGGCUAAAUACGUGCCAGCAGCCGCAGUAA
RNAcentral lists this ribosomal RNA (513 nucleotides) under uncultured bacterium. RNAcentral's name for it is "partial 16S ribosomal RNA". It matches the Rfam family "Bacterial small subunit ribosomal RNA", at positions 28 to 523 of the family's 1533-position model. The record is from RNAcentral.